GCAGUGGCUGUUCAAUGGUAGAAUUCUCGUCUUCCAUGUAGGAGACCUGGGUUCAAUUCUCAGCUAAUGCG
This 71-nucleotide transfer RNA is filed under the name Loxodonta africana (African savanna elephant). It matches the Rfam family "tRNA". Rfam says of the family: Transfer RNA (tRNA) molecules are approximately 80 nucleotides in length. Lineage: Eukaryota; Metazoa; Chordata; Mammalia; Proboscidea; Elephantidae. The record is from Rfam by way of RNAcentral.